Non-coding RNA from Salmo salar (Atlantic salmon), 54 nucleotides. NCBI's taxonomy places the organism in Eukaryota, Metazoa, Chordata, Actinopteri, Salmoniformes, Salmonidae. The record is from Rfam.
UGCAUUCUCUACUGUAAGUCGCUCUGGAUAAGAGCGUCUGCUAAAUUACUAAAA